UUAAAACGACCUUGCGUCAAUCCUGAUGAAAUUAGCAUCGCUGCAUUUUUAGAUACUUGCUAUGGAUGUACUUUGAUCACGGUAAGAAGAAGUAAUAGAUUUUUUUGAUCCCCCAGUUGAACAGGAGUGUUCUACUUUUCUAGAUGAGAAUCCGGAGACAAACAUGUUAAAGCCUUUUAGAUUUACAGGCUGUGUUUUACUUUUCUUUAAAUGCAAGCGAUGGGAAUUACUAACCCUGGUCAAGAAAAUUUCAUUUCCCCCAUCCCGCUAAACGGCUCUGGUCGACAUAUGUUUGUUAUCAGAGAGAGGUGCUAUGAACACAGAGCCAUUUUCUUAGCAGCUUUUUGACUGUAUGUUACCAUAGUCCCACGCGGCAUUGGUCCUUUCCCAUUGGGAAGUCAUGAAUAAGAGACUAUGAAGCUUGCACGUCAGGUCUUCCUCAAUUAAUCCACCAUUAGCAUGUUUGGGAUCCACUACUGGAUGGUUAACAGCAGCUUUGGUAACUGUAUGCUGUCCAUACCCAAUUAUGCUCUACUAAAAAUGAACUCUGCAGACCAACCUUGAGCUGUCAGUGUCUCCCGUUUUCCUAUUUUAACGUUUGUAUGUAGUGGCAGGCGACAGAUGGUGUAGAUCAGAUCGAUUUGAUUGCAUUAGGCGAUUUUUUUCCUCCUCUCCCUCCGACUCCUUUUCUGGAAGCCCACAUCAUCUGAAAGGCGAUCGCCGGGGACCCGGAAAGCACCAGCAGCCGCCGAUGUGUGAAGGCAACUGGGCACGGCCAGCCAGAGGCGCCGGGCUUCGUUCCCAGGGCACAGUAAUCCGGCACCAGGAGAGAAAGCCGCGUUCUGCUGCCCAGAGCCUAUUCCCCGACACAUAUCAGAUGACUCCCUGGUUUUACACACAGUUGGAGUUCUGCUUGAAACCUGGAUUUAAAGGGGAUCUGUUGCUGUGAAUGACAUCUAUUCCAAGCACCCAGAGAGAACUGAUGGAGCACACAGAUGGGAAUAGGAUGCCAGGCAAGCACAGAGGAAGAAAUCAGGAAAUCACCAGAACUGGAAGUACAGCAGCCAUUGGAUAAUGGGACGGGAUCACUCGGCAACUCUGUGGAUUCUCCUUCUCCUUCCUCUGUAGGGGAAAUAUAGUUAUGGAUUUAUUGCCCCGGUGCAGCAGUUCCAGCAGCAGCAGCAGCAGCAGCCUCAGCAGAUUUCUGACUCUCUUCGGUGACGGGUAUUCUUGGGUGGAUAAUACGGAUUACGUUGUUAUUGCUUAAGAAUACGCGUAGUCGAGGAGAGUACCCGCGGCAGGCAGGCAGGCAGCGGCCGCCCCCAGCCCAGCAGCUGGCUCCUAAUCUACUAUAGUUGCCAAGGUAGCCCCUUUUUGAUCUUUUCCUGCACUUUGCUAUGUCUCUCUCUAUGUCUGUGAUUAGGUGAUCCCAGGGGUUGCUAUGUACACGGCAGGGGUAGGAGACUCUGGUGAUGAGUCUAGUCUUCUGCAUCCUAGGCUAGUUCCCCACGGCUUCUCUUUCCCCAAAGCGUGUGCGCGGGAGGGGCUGCCGAGCCCAAACCGUGUCCGGCUGGGACAGUGCCGAGCCGGUGGGGGGGGAGGGGGAUGUGACUAUGACCUUUGUCCUCAUGUGUCCCCCACCCCCUCCCCAUCAAUGCUGUGAAAUACUGAGAGACCUUUCUGGUUUGGGCACUUAGUAGAGCGUCAGGCGAUGGCUCUGGAAUAGGCAGAGAGGAGAGAAAACCUGCCGCGACCUAAACCCGGGGGAGCAAAGGGGAAUCGCCUGAGAUCGGCUUUGUAAUCCGUUGCUUGAGCUGCAUUGUUGCCAAGGGGUCUGUAGGGAGCUGCCUGGCUGGUCUCCUGAUGAUGGCGGGCAGGUGUCGAGGGCUGGGAACUGGGCUGAACGCGGUUAGACGCGCUCAGAGGGGGGCCCUAUCCCGCGACUCCUGCGCAGGCAUCCUGCCCAUUGGCUUCCACUGGAGAUUACAUUGGUUUCCGUGGGAGGUUUGGGUGCGCAGGGGACGCAGGAUGGAGACUUACCUGGUCCUCUACCCCUGGAGCCCUCUUGCGCUGAUUCCCUUCGAACACGAUCCCUGGUGCAGUGCAGGACCCGGCAUAGGGAGAGCAUGACAAAGCUGCGCCAGGACGUGCACAAGCAGUUGUUUGCUGAUGAUCGGUUACACGUAGGUACCUUUAUUCCCAGUGUGGGUCUGGCACUAGCCACGGGCUAAGCAAGCAGCCUAGGCACUAUUUGGCCUGUGCAAAUUCAAUUCUCAGGACAUCAGUACCCAGAACACACAGUCCGCCCGCCCACGCUGCCAGUGCAUUGUAACAUUCCAAACAUGGGUCCGAAGCAGGUUUUUUAUUCUCCUUCAUAGGGCCUGAUGCUGGCAGUCGAGGGGGCUCACUCCUCCGUGGCAUUGGCCUCUGGUGUAAAGAGACCCCACAAUAGAGCUCACCCAGCUUCCACCCCAUGCUGCACUCUCCCGGGGUCUGGGACCGCACAGCGCACCCAUCUGCCUGCAUUCCGCCGGGGACGAUUCUCGCCCUAAUCCUCCUCUACGGAUUCAGGGAAGCUCAGCUCAGUAGCUGGGCAAAGAGAAGACAAACCCCACCUUGCCUGCUAAAGACAGAGACAUGGGAAACGCUGUCAAGUCCUGGACUUGGCAAGAAGCAACAUGGGGCCAGAACUAGCACCCCAGCGAGUGCCCUAGAGCCCCAGUUUCUUUUUUUCUGUCAAUGCUAAUCGCUUCGCUGUGCUCAAUGCAAGGGGUGCAGAGGAGCAACUAAACACUCCCAAGAGAUCUACUGGCCUCCAGUAGAACGCUACAGGUCGCAUGAAUUCCUGGGGAACUCAAGUGACAGGAGUUAAUCUAAAGGGCAGCUACCCAAAGACGUUACACCCGCUGGAGCAUUCAUAUAGGUACAGCUAGACAGCGAUGGACGGGGAAUUUGCUGUUGAGUUAAAACUUUCCCAUCUCAGAGUAGUUUCUGAUUUCUGCUCAUUCCCUCACUUCAUCUUUUCCCUUAAUUAAGCAAAUGAACCUCCACCCUAAAUUGCCAGCUUUCGCUCAGAACUCUUUCCUGACAAGAACAGGGCAAACUUAUUUUUUUAGCAAAUCCGCCUCCAAGUCAAAGUAUAUCCCCAUGGUCCCCUUUUUAACACUGCAAACUGCUGGUAUGGUCUGUGGCCUUCUGCAACCGCCGCCCACAGCCAGAACAAGAGCCCUUUGGGGCAAUGUAAUAUUAAGAAAUAAUACGCAGACGCAAGAAGGCAAAACAAUGUUUUCCUUCCAGGGUUUUGGGAGGGGGGGGAGGGUGUUAUUACACAGUUUGUAUUUUGUUGAGUUCAAAAGGCGAUAGUAGAUUUUGUCCCGCCGACACGCUUCAGCGAUCUCAACUUUCUUGCUACUCUGUCUCUGUUCUUGCCAUGGUGCCUCUAGCCCAGUCGGCAGCGUUCGAGCUGUUCACAGCACCUUCUCUGAACUAAACCGAGAGUUUGAUGCAUGUCGCCCAGUGUAGGGAAACGGAGGCAGGUACCUUUUGGAAGGAGCCUUUUAUGGCGACAGCACAGUAGGCACUGCCUAGCUUUGCUUUUUUUU
Long non-coding RNA from Trachemys scripta elegans, 3602 nucleotides. RefSeq lists it as uncharacterized. The record is from RefSeq and is a predicted model, not a curated record. Lineage: Eukaryota; Metazoa; Chordata; Testudines; Emydidae. The transcript has 3 exons.